RNAcentral lists this transfer RNA (85 nucleotides) under Candidatus Saccharimonadota bacterium. RNAcentral describes it as "tRNA-Leu". It matches the Rfam family "tRNA". Rfam says of the family: Transfer RNA (tRNA) molecules are approximately 80 nucleotides in length. Their secondary structure includes four short double-helical elements and three loops (D, anti-codon, and T loops). The record is from RNAcentral. Lineage: Bacteria; Candidatus Saccharimonadota. RNAcentral also lists the same sequence under 1 other name.
GCCGGGAUGGUGGAAUUGGUAGACACGCGUGCCUUAGGAGCACGUGCCGUAAGGUGUGGAGGUUCGAGUCCUCUUCCCGGCACCA